Molecule: ribosomal RNA, 455 nt
Filed under: uncultured bacterium
Lineage: Bacteria
Description: bacterial SSU rRNA
Rfam family: Bacterial small subunit ribosomal RNA
Source: RNAcentral
UACGGGAGGCAGCAGUGGGGAAUAUUGCACAAUGGGCGCAAGCCUGAUGCAGCCAUGCCGCGUGUAUGAAAAAGGCCUUUCGGGUUGUAAAGUACUUUCAGUCGUGAGGAAGGUGUUAAGGUUAAUAACCUUAGCAAUUGACGUUAGCGACAGAAGAAGCACCGGCUAACUCCGUGCCAGCAGCCGCGGUAAUACGGAGGGUGCGAGCGUUAAUCGGAAUUACUGGGCGUAAAGGGCACGCAGGCGGUUAAUUAAGUUGGAUGUGAAAUCCCCGGGCUUAACCUGGGAAUGGCAUUCAAGACUGGUUAGCUAGAGUCUUGUAGAGGGGGUAGAAUUCCAUGUGUAGCGGUGAAAUGCGUAGAGAUGUGGAGGAAUACCGGUGGCGAAAGGCGGCCCCUGGACAAAGACUGACGCUCAUGUGCGAAAGCGUGGGGAGCAAACAGGGAUUAGAUACC